UACGGAGGGUGCGAGCGUUGUCCGGAAUCAUUGGGCGUAAAGGGCGCGUAGGUGGCUUCUCAAGCGUGCGGUGAAAGCCUGGGGCUCAACCCCGGGUCGGCCGUGCGAACUGGGGGGCUUGAGCACUGUAGAGGCAGGCGGAAUUCCGGGUGUAGCGGUGGAAUGCGUAGAGAUCCGGAAGAACACCGGUGGCGAAGGCGGCCUGCUGGGCAGUUUAGCUGACACUGAGGCGCGACAGCGUGGGGAGCAAACAGG
This 255-nucleotide ribosomal RNA is filed under the name uncultured bacterium. RNAcentral's name for it is "partial 16S ribosomal RNA". It matches the Rfam family "Bacterial small subunit ribosomal RNA", at positions 524 to 776 of the family's 1533-position model. The record is from RNAcentral.